AUGCCGUCUGGAACACGGGGCGUCCAAAGUCCCUAUGGCAAAACAAGGAGGCACAUCAACCCGCGAUUGCCUUGGUCUCAGCCCAUUGGGCAGAACAAGCCGCGGGGCCCCAAUCUAGCUGCAGAGGAGGCAGGGAAGUGUAGCCCAGCACAUGGAAUCUGUGGCGAGUGCUGUCUCUCCAGCCAGCCUUCCCCCAGGACAUCUCAGGGUAUGCCAUUCAAGAAACGAGACUCAACCCUGUGGAGGAGAGGAGCCCAUGGCCAUGGAAAUGAACCAUGCAAGGUGAUGGGGAACUUUCGGGGAAGGCCCUCUGUCUGCUGCUGUUCACUAGCCAUCACACAGCAAUCUGAGCUCCGGGAGCUCUCCGGAUACUCAGAAGGAACAACCUCAGCAGCUGGUCCACUCCCUGCCACAAGCGACGGUCCAAAUCGUGGCUACUCUGACCUUGAUCUUCAACCUCACUCCUAGGCUAGCGAUGCAGAAGAAAGCACGGGACUUGGAGAAAGACAAGCCCACGUUCAAAUUCUGCUCUCUUUCACCAGCUGACAGACUCAGGAAAGUCACCCACCCCCCGCGAUCAGAUUGGCAGGACUGCAAAUUGGGAUAACAGGACCGUCCUCACUGGUGGUUGGGAGAGUUACGAGGAAGGACUGGCUCCCCAUCUGUCUUCAACCGCCGUCCCCC
This 684-nucleotide long non-coding RNA is filed under the name Felis catus (domestic cat). Its description in RNAcentral is "lncRNA (ENSFCAG00000049973.1)". Lineage: Eukaryota; Metazoa; Chordata; Mammalia; Carnivora; Felidae. The record is from RNAcentral.